This 474-nucleotide ribosomal RNA is filed under the name uncultured bacterium. RNAcentral's name for it is "partial 16S ribosomal RNA". It matches the Rfam family "Bacterial small subunit ribosomal RNA", at positions 28 to 507 of the family's 1533-position model. The record is from RNAcentral.
GGCGAACGCUGGCGGCGUGCUUAACACAUGCAAGUCGAGCGGUAAGGCUCCUUCGGGCGUACACGAGCGGCGAACGGGUGAGUAACACGUGAGUAAUCUGCCCUUCACUUCGGGAUAACCACCGGAAACGGUGGCUAAUACCGAAUACGACCAGUCUUCGCAUGAGGUGCUGGUGGAAAGUCUUUUCGGUGAAGGAUGUGCUCGCGGCCUAUCAGCUUGUUGGUGGGGUAAUGGCCUACCAAGGCUUCGACGGGUAGCCGGCCUGAGAGGGUGACCGGCCACACUGGGACUGAGACACGGCCCAGACUCCUACGGGAGGCAGCAGUGGGGAAUAUUGGACAAUGGGCGAAAGCCUGAUCCAGCAACGCCGCGUGAGGGAUGACGGCCUUCGGGUUGUAAACCUCUUUCAGUACCGACGAAGCGCCCUGUCGGGUGGUGACGGUAGGUACAGAAGAAGGACCGGCCAACUACGUG